Molecule: long non-coding RNA, 364 nt
Organism: Piliocolobus tephrosceles (Ugandan red Colobus)
Lineage: Eukaryota; Metazoa; Chordata; Mammalia; Primates; Cercopithecidae
Exons: 4
Source: RefSeq, a predicted model, not a curated record
GCUGGCUCAUGUCAGUAACUCAGCAGUGGCUCAGUGUCCCCAGGUGUCCCAGGGAAGAGGGAAUCGGGAAGUGUAGGCAACUGGGAGAGAAUAGAUGAGAAUAGAAGUGCAUCCUCAAGAGAACAGUGGCUGCACCAGCCAGGAAGCAUCUGAGACCACCUGAUUCUCUGGAAUAACAGCUGCUGAGACCUUAAACUACAAAUCAACAUUUUCAAAGUAACCCUGGCCACAUACUGGGACUCAUGGGGAUACCGGCACUUCUGAGCAUCCACCUUUCCAAGAAGAAUAACCUAAGAUUAUACCAGACAUCAAGGAUCAGACUAACAGCUGGUGUCAGGUGUUUUUAGCAGGCCUCAUCUAACAU